This 227-nucleotide non-coding RNA is filed under the name Protocruzia adhaerens. The record is from RNAcentral. Lineage: Eukaryota; Ciliophora; Spirotrichea.
CAUACACACACGCUCAUAUCGAUAGGAAGAGAUAGCAAAGAAACAAAGAAAGAGAGAGAGAGAAGAUACUUUAACUUUUGACACCCCCUCGUUUGGUGGAAAAGCCUGUUUACUCUCUUUUGAUUUCAGUUGUGUCUAGGGACACUACGUGAACAAAGAGGGGGGGAAUUUCCGAGAGUAGAACGUGGCAAUCAAAAACAAGGCUGGGUGGAGUUUACUUUUUUUGU